UUUAUGCUGCAGUUGUCAGUGCGCGGAUGCGCGUAUGUGUCUGUUUGUGUGUCAUCUGUCGACAGCUCGUGUGCGCGCGUGUUAUGUGGGCGGUACACUUUGAUCGUUGUUUGUUUAAGUUUCACUUACAGCUGUAGAUUCGCUAGUUGGAAAAGUAGCGUCAGUACUGAAACCGUGGCGUUUUGAACUUUGUUGUCGGUUGACUUCGUCUACGGAAGGUGCAGUGCUUGUUAGCUGCAUGAGGGAUGAGCAAGGGGGCAAAGCCUUGGCUACUCCAAGGUCCAACGUCCAGACCCUCCGUGAGCUGUUCAGUGACAAGGAUGCCAGAUGCAUGCCGCAUGUUGCCAGUCUCAAGAAGCGAGAAGGCCCAACUGAGGUGCGGAUACCUCGUCCCAGCCUCACACCAAAGCCAUCUAACAACCGGAAGUUGUCUCUUGGCUCUGCCAAGGAGUCAUCUGCUGAGCCCUCCAGCCCUGCUGGCCAGAGUAGCUUGUCAGGAAGCCUGCCUCGGGUGGGUGGGGUGUCCACCAGGAGAGCCUCCUUUGAGCAUGGCAGAGUGGCCAUAGUGCAGCAAACGGAGCUGCUGCCUCCGUCACCAGAGGUUGUUACAGCAGAAGUCUCAUCCAGUAGAUUGAGCUGUGAGGACUUCCCCUUGCCCCAGGCAUUGCAUAUGGUUGCGGGGGACAGGAGCCCUGCCUCUGAGAAGCUGUGCUGUGAUGCUUCAUCUCUGUCUGAAGAAGAGGACUAUGUGACACCCAUUUCCUUAUCAUCGAAGCCGCUAGAAGCUGGUUGCCAAGGGAGUGUUGUACCAUCACGACUGAGGAGUGAGGAAGCACUGCCGCGCACCCCAAAGUCUCCUGAGGGUUCUUCACCCAAGGUGAAACCCAAGCUUCCUGAGCCACCACUGUAUGUGCCACCACAGCUGGUGCGCCAUCCUGUGGCGCCUGGGUGGCAGCGGCGUGAGCUGCCUGUGGCAGCUGCUGCUUGUCCUCCAAAGCCAGCCAGGCCCUCUGGAAUGUGCCUGCUGACCUACUCUAGUCUACACAAUGUUGCACCCAUUGCAGCUCAGCCAGACAGACCUUCAUUGGCCAACCGAAGCACUCCCCCUGUGCCCCCAUCGCGAGCCCCACCACCCCGACCCUUGGUGCCCAAACCACCACGGCUACUGCCAUCGUUGCCCACUACACCAGCGGACGAUACAUGCUCAGAGCCCAGGCAGCCAACAUCUCCCAUCCCUGAAUACACGGAGGAUGAAGAGUUGGGCAACAUGGCAGCUGAUGAGGAGCUGUAUGCAGACACUGAAAUGGAUGAGACACCACCCUCACUGCCACCAGCACGCACUCCUCCUGCACCACCUCGACCACCAGACGAUGAGCUCUACCAAGAUACCUUGGAAGAGCUCUAUGAAGAGAUGCCAACAGACGAGACUGCAUCUGCCUUGCCACCUCCGAUAAAGGUGCUGGACAACCUGCCCAGGCAAGACAAGCGUGACAGUGUAUGCAAAGCAUUUGGGCUUCCUAGUGGCUGGGAGCAGCUGCGGCCUCUGGAUGUCGGUUGUGCACGGGCUAGCAGCAGUGGCGGCACAAAAAACCUUGACCUACCACUGCACUGUGGCGAGCCUGUGUAUGUUCUUCGAUUUGAGAACAAUCCCCCGGGCAAGUGGCUUGUGCGGAACCAUAAGGGAGAAGUGGGCUAUGCUGACCUGACGAACAUAGAGGUAGAUGCUGAAUCCAUCAAAUUCAUUAUGACAUCGCACAGAAGCCCAUGCGCAAGCUUGAGGAAGCAACAAGCAAGUGCUGUGCAAAGUGAAGAUGAAGAAGCCAUCUAUGAAGAGACCUUUUAGGCCAUGGACCCCACAUCAGCAACUGUCUCACAGAAAGAUAGAUAUUGGCUCGAUUCCACGUCUUCAUAGAAGCUCUCAACUUCCUGGUCAUCAUGACUGGAUGUAUGUAGGGGCGUAGACCUGCACAACCUUCAAUUUGUACCUCUUAUUAAGUUUCACAACAAGACCUGCCACCCUCUCGUUAAUGCUUUAG
Molecule: RNA transcript, 2036 nt
Organism: Dermacentor albipictus
Lineage: Eukaryota; Metazoa; Arthropoda; Arachnida; Ixodida; Ixodidae
Gene name: proteoglycan 4-like
Source: RefSeq, a predicted model, not a curated record